GUUCUACAUAUGUCGUUGGAGUGUUCUACCUAUGUCAUUGAAGUGUGAUACCUAUAUCAUUGGAAUGUUCUACCUAUAUCAUUAAAGUGUUUCUACCUAUGUCAUUGGAGUGUUAUACCUAUGUCAUUGGAGUGUUUACGUUUGGAGUGUUUCUACUUCUGUAGUGUUCUAUCUAUUUGGAAUGUUUCUACCUAUGUCAUUGGAGUGUUAUACCUACAUUGGAGUGUUAUACCUAUGUCAUUGGAUGGCAGUGUUCUACCUAGGUCAUUGGAGUGUUCUACCUAAGGUCAUUGGAGUGUUCUACCUAGGUCAUUGGAGUGUUCUAUCUAUGUCAUUGGAUUGUUCUACCUAUGUCAUUCUGUGUUGAUGUUAUGUUACAAAAAUAAACAUGACAACAUUCAAGUUUGUGUUUAUUUUUGUGUUGACAAAAUUAACUUUUGUGACACAAAAUUCAUUUUUU
Molecule: long non-coding RNA, 460 nt
Filed under: Mytilus galloprovincialis (Mediterranean mussel)
Lineage: Eukaryota; Metazoa; Mollusca; Bivalvia; Mytilida; Mytilidae
Source: RNAcentral